AUACCUCGGAGAGUUUGAUCCUGGCUCAGGACGAACGCUGGCGGCGUGCCUAAUACAUGCAAGUCGAGCGGACAGAAGGGAGCUUGCUCCCGGAUGUUAGCGGCGGACGGGUGAGUAACACGUGGGUAACCUGCCUGUAAGACUGGGAUAACUC
This 154-nucleotide ribosomal RNA is filed under the name Bacillus altitudinis. Its description in RNAcentral is "16S rRNA. Bacterial SSU". It matches the Rfam family "Bacterial small subunit ribosomal RNA", at positions 1 to 149 of the family's 1533-position model. The record is from RNAcentral. Lineage: Bacteria; Bacillati; Bacillota; Bacilli; Caryophanales; Bacillaceae.